This 446-nucleotide ribosomal RNA is filed under the name uncultured bacterium. RNAcentral describes it as "partial 16S ribosomal RNA". It matches the Rfam family "Bacterial small subunit ribosomal RNA", at positions 338 to 795 of the family's 1533-position model. The record is from RNAcentral.
CCUACGGGCGGCAGCAGUCGAGAAUCAUUCACAAUGGGGGAAACCCUGAUGGUGCGACGCCGCGUGGGGGAAUGAAGGUCUUCGGAUUGUAAACCCCUGUCAUGUGGGAGCAAAUUAAAAAGAUAGUACCACAAGAGGAAGAGACGGCUAACUCGGUGCCAGCAGCCGCGGGAAUACAGAGGUCUCAAGCGUUGUUCGGAAGCACUGGGCGUAAAGCGUGCGUAGGCUGUUUCGUAAGUCGUGUGUGAAAGGCGCGGGCUCAACCCGCGGACGGCACAUGAUACUGCGAGACUAGAGUAAUGGAGGGGGAACCGGAAUUCUCGGUGUAGCAGUGAAAUGCGUAGAUAUCGAGAGGAACACUCGUGGCGAAGGCGGGUUCCUGGACAUUAACUGACGCUGAGGCACGAAGGCCAGGGGAGCGAAAGGGAUUAGAUACCCCUGUAGUC